Molecule: ribosomal RNA, 406 nt
Filed under: uncultured bacterium
Lineage: Bacteria
Description: partial 16S ribosomal RNA
Rfam family: Bacterial small subunit ribosomal RNA
Source: RNAcentral
AUUGAACGCUGGCGGCAGGCCUAACACAUGCAAGUCGAGCGAGCGGCGGACGGGUGGGUAAGGAAUGGGGAUCUGCCCGGGAGAGAGGGAUAAGUACUGGGAACGGUGGCUAAUACCGCCUUCUAGCGGAUGAACCCAUAGGGGAUUAGCUAGUAGGUGGGGAAAAGGCACACCUAGGCCAGGAACUCUAGCUGGUCUGAGAGGAUGAUCAGCCACACUGGGACUGAGACACGGCCCAGACUCCUACGGGAGGCAGCAGUGGGGAAUAUUGCACAAGGGGCGAAAGCCUGAUCCAGCCAUGCCGCGUGUAUGAAGAAGGUCUUAGGGUUGUAAAGUACUUUCAGCGGGGAGGCGUUACCCGCAGAAGAAGCACCGGCUAACUCCGUGCCAGCAGCCGCGGUAAUUC